UAGGACAGAAAGUCACAGCCAGAUGAAGAG
This 30-nucleotide non-coding RNA is filed under the name Rattus norvegicus (Norway rat). The record is from RNAcentral. Lineage: Eukaryota; Metazoa; Chordata; Mammalia; Rodentia; Muridae.